This 71-nucleotide small RNA is filed under the name chicken gut metagenome. The record is from RNAcentral.
UCUCUACAACCGCACAAAAAAGGUUUUAGAAAUGGUUAAUUCCAUACCUUAAUGGCGAGUCUUAGAUGAUA